Molecule: small RNA, 187 nt
Filed under: Humibacillus sp.
Lineage: Bacteria; Bacillati; Actinomycetota; Actinomycetes; Micrococcales; Intrasporangiaceae
Description: c-di-AMP sequence
Rfam family: c-di-AMP riboswitch aptamer (ydaO/yuaA leader)
About the family: This family represents a conserved RNA structure found upstream of the ydaO and yuaA genes in Bacillus subtilis and related genes in other bacteria. The ydaO/yuaA element is thought to act as a genetic "off" switch for the ydaO and yuaA genes in its native state.
Source: RNAcentral
GACGUCUUCUCGCCGAACCGGCCACAGUCGGGCGGCGGGAUCGGGCGAGGACGGGGGACCCAGUUGAGCCGGCCAAGGAGCGAUCUUCGUUCCCGCUGCCGGACGGGGGUGAAGUCGCGAGAGCGACAGGGCACCUGACCGCCCUAACCCGACAGCUAACCUCGCAGGCGCGCGUCAGGAAGGAAAC